Molecule: ribosomal RNA, 464 nt
Filed under: Vreelandella stevensii
Lineage: Bacteria; Pseudomonadati; Pseudomonadota; Gammaproteobacteria; Oceanospirillales; Halomonadaceae
Description: partial 16S ribosomal RNA
Rfam family: Bacterial small subunit ribosomal RNA
Source: RNAcentral
CCUACGGGUGGCAGCAGUGGGGAAUAUUGGACAAUGGGCGAAAGCCUGAUCCAGCCAUGCCGCGUGUGUGAAGAAGGCCUUCGGGUUGUAAAGCACUUUCAGUGGGGAAGAAAGCCUUGGGGCUAAUACCCUCGAGGAAGGACAUCACCCACAGAAGAAGCACCGGCUAACUCCGUGCCAGCAGCCGCGGUAAUACGGAGGGUGCGAGCGUUAAUCGGAAUUACUGGGCGUAAAGCGCGCGUAGGCGGUCUGAUAAGCCGGUUGUGAAAGCCCCGGGCUCAACCUGGGAACGGCAUCCGGAACUGUCAGGCUAGAGUGCAGGAGAGGAAGGUAGAAUUCCCGGUGUAGCGGUGAAAUGCGUAGAGAUCGGGAGGAAUACCAGUGGCGAAGGCGGCCUUCUGGACUGACACUGACGCUGAGGUGCGAAAGCGUGGGUAGCAAACAGUAUUAGAUACCCUGGUAGC